GGCGCUUUCGUUGGCAGAGAGCGCGUGAGAAUCACCACCCACGGAACAGAGGGAGACAGCGCAAGAAGGGGCAACUCCCAGCUGCGGGAAUAGUGGAAACAACGCCACCUGAUUGUGUCUGGCAGGCUCGCGGAGGGGUGAAGAAAGCUGGCACUUUUCCCCUUAGUGCCAUUUUAUGCUGUACUGGUAGUUUUUUCAACGUCAUAAAGCCAGGACUGCCCCUAACGUAUUUAUGAAUACACUACAAGUGUGGAUAUGGAAUGUUAGCCUUUCGGGUUUUAAAUCAUUUCCUGUUUACCCUUGGGAUGUAGGAAACGAGAGUUCCAGGAAAGUGGACUUGUCUUCAGGAACAAAUCAGUGUCAUUGUAAAUACAAGACUUAA
Molecule: long non-coding RNA, 382 nt
Filed under: Fukomys damarensis (Damara mole-rat)
Lineage: Eukaryota; Metazoa; Chordata; Mammalia; Rodentia; Bathyergidae
Description: lncRNA (ENSFDAG00000028016.1)
Source: RNAcentral